This 442-nucleotide ribosomal RNA is filed under the name uncultured Bacteroides sp. Its description in RNAcentral is "bacterial SSU rRNA". It matches the Rfam family "Bacterial small subunit ribosomal RNA", at positions 355 to 794 of the family's 1533-position model. Lineage: Bacteria; Pseudomonadati; Bacteroidota; Bacteroidia; Bacteroidales; Bacteroidaceae. The record is from RNAcentral.
UGAGGAAUAUUGGGUCAAUGGGCGCGAGCCUGAACCAGCCAAGUAGCGUGAAGGACGAAGGCCCUAUGGGUUGUAAACUUCUUUUGCGGGGGGAUAAACGCGCCACGCGUGGCGUCUUGCAGGUACCCCGCGAAUAAGGGUCGGCUAACUCCGUGCCAGCAGCCGCGGUAAUACGGAGGACCCGAGCGUUAUCCGGAUUUAUUGGGUUUAAAGGGUGCGUAGGCGGGACCUUAAGUCAGUUGUGAAAUCCGGCGGCCCAACCGUCGGCCUGCAGUUGAUACUGGGGUCCUUGAGUUCGGAUGAGGCAGGCGGAAUUCGUGGUGUAGCGGUGAAAUGCAUAGAUAUCACGAAGAACCCCGAUUGCGUAGGCAGCCUGCCAGGCCGCGACUGACGCUGAGGCACGAAAGUGCGGGUAUCGAACAGGAUUAGAUACCCUGGUAGU